GUCUACGGCCAUGCCACUCUGAACAAGCCUGACCCCGUCUGAUCUCGGAAGCUAAGCAGGAUCAGGCCUGGUUAGUACUUGGAUGGGGAGCACCUAGAAAGACCAGGUGCUGUAGGCA
Molecule: ribosomal RNA, 118 nt
Filed under: Pteropus alecto (black flying fox)
Lineage: Eukaryota; Metazoa; Chordata; Mammalia; Chiroptera; Pteropodidae
Source: RNAcentral